RNAcentral lists this ribosomal RNA (1191 nucleotides) under Haptophyta environmental samples. RNAcentral's name for it is "SSU rRNA". It matches the Rfam family "Eukaryotic small subunit ribosomal RNA", at positions 427 to 1644 of the family's 1831-position model. The record is from RNAcentral. Lineage: Eukaryota; Haptophyta.
AGCAGGCGCGUAAAUUGCCCGAAUCCUGACACAGGGAGGUAGUGACAAGAAAUAACGAUACAGGGCUACAUCUAGUCUUGUAAUUGGAAUGAGUACAAUUUACAUCUCUUAACGAUGAUCAAUUGGAGGGCAAGUCUGGUGCCAGCAGCCGCGGUAAUUCCAGCUCCAAUAGCGUAUAUUAAAGUUGUUGCAGUUAGAACGCUCGUAGUCGGAUUUCGGGGCAGUCCGACCGGUCUGCCGAUGGGUAUGCACUGGCCGGAGUGUCCUUUUUGCCGGAGACCGUGCCUACUCUUAACUGAGCGGGGGCGGGAGACGGCACUUUUACUUUGAAAAAAUCAGAGUGUUUCAAGCAGGCAGCUCGCUCUUGCAUGGAUUAGCAUGGGAUAAUGAAAUAGGACUUUGGUGCUAUUUUGUUGGUUUCGAACACCGAAGUAAUGAUGUGAAGGGACAGUCAGGGGCACUCGUAUUCCGCAGAGAGAGGUGAAAUUCUCAGACCCGCGGAAGACGAACCACUGCGAAAGCAUUUGCCAGGGAUGUUUUCACUGAUCAAGAACGAAAGUUAGGGGAUCGAAGAUGAUCAGUUACCGUCGUAGUCUUAACCAUAAACCAUGCCGACUAGGGAUUGGAGGAUGUUCACUGAUUGACUCCUUCAGCACCUUACGGGAAACUAAAGUCUUUGGGUUCCGGGGGGAGUAUGGUCGCAAGGCUGAAACUUAAAGGAAUUGACGGAAGGGCACCACCAGGUGUGGAGCCUGCGGCUUAAUUUGACUCAACACGGGGAAACUUACCAGGUCCAGACAUUGUGAGGAUUGACAGAUUGAGAGCUCUUUCUUGAUUCGAUGGGUGGUGGUGCAUGGCCGUUCUUAGUUGGUGGAGUGAUCUGUCUGGUUAAUUCCGUUAACGAACGAGACCUUAGCCUGCUAAAUAGUGACGCGAACACUCCGUUCGCGGUCCACUUCUUAGAGGGACAACUUGUCUUCAACAAGUGGAAGUUUGAGGCAAUAACAGGUCUGUGAUGCCCUUAGAUGUUCUGGGCCGCACGCGCGCUACACUGAUGCACUCAACGAGUCACCACCUUGACCGAAAGGUCCGGGAAAUCUUCGAACUCGCAUCGUGAUGGGGAUAGAUUAUUGCAACUAUUAAUCUUCAACGAGGAAUACCUAGUAGGCGCAUGUCAUCAGCGCGCGUUGA